GAGGCAUCACUAUCAAAUUACAGGUUUGGUAAAUUUUCCCCAUUUCUUGAUUUCUGUUCUCGUCCUGACUGUUUUAGUUGAUUGUUCUUGUUCUAUCUGUGAAGAUACUUCUAUACUGACUUGUUUGUGAAGGUUUGUUUAAUGGAGCCAAUCUGAGUUAGACUAAGUUUGGCUUGUAUGUUCAAGUUUUUGAAACGGGCUCAAGCCUUAAUUGUUUAUUACUCGAACACACACAUUUUUAUCAUAAAAAUAUGUACUUUUUAACUAAUUUAAUAAUAAAAAAGCAUGUUAAAAAGAAAAAAAUAUAUUAUUUGCACUAUAUGCGAUAUAAGAAAAAUAGAAAAAAAAUUAUAGAAAGAAAAUGAAAUUUAAAAAAAAUUAAUUUAACUCCACUUUAUCAGGGUUUAAGGGGAAAUAGGUGGGAAGAGGAGAGGAGGAGAGAAAACAAGAGAAGAAGGAGAAGAGAACGAUGAGAAAAACCCUA
RNAcentral lists this unclassified non-coding RNA (484 nucleotides) under Hevea brasiliensis (rubber tree). The record is from RNAcentral. Lineage: Eukaryota; Viridiplantae; Streptophyta; Magnoliopsida; Malpighiales; Euphorbiaceae.